GACGAACGCUGGCGGCGUGCCUAAUACAUGCAAGUCGAGCGCUUCUUUCCUCCCGAGUGCUUGCACUCAAUUGGAAAGAGGAGUGGCGGACGGGUGAGUAACACGUGGGUAACCUACCCAUCAGAGGGGGAUAACACUUGGAAACAGGUGCUAAUACCGCAUAACAGUUUAUGCCGCAUGGCAUAAGAGUGAAAGGCGCUUUCGGGUGUCGCUGAUGGAUGGACCCGCGGUGCAUUAGCUAGUUGGUGAGGUAACGGCUCACCAAGGCCACGAUGCAUAGCCGACCUGUGAGGGUGAUCGGCCACACUGGGACUGAGACACGGCCCAGACUCCUACGGGAGGCAGCAGUAGGGAAUCUUCGGCAAUGGACGAAAGUCUGACCGAGCAACGCCGCGUGAGUGAAGAAGGUUUUCGGAUCGUAAAACUCUGUUGUUAGAGAAGAACAAGGACGUUAGUAACUGAACGUCCCCUGACGGUAUCUAACCAGAAAGCCACGGCUAACUACGUG
RNAcentral lists this ribosomal RNA (508 nucleotides) under uncultured bacterium. RNAcentral describes it as "partial 16S ribosomal RNA". It matches the Rfam family "Bacterial small subunit ribosomal RNA", at positions 28 to 507 of the family's 1533-position model. The record is from RNAcentral.